Molecule: long non-coding RNA, 510 nt
Filed under: Mus spretus (western wild mouse)
Lineage: Eukaryota; Metazoa; Chordata; Mammalia; Rodentia; Muridae
Description: lncRNA (ENSMSPG00010021443.1)
Source: RNAcentral
CAUUCCCCUCCCACCCAGGGCAUGGGCGGCAUCGGCGAAGCCAGCGAGACGCUUGUCCUACAGCGCCUCCUCCUGGACAAAGCUCCAGACAGCCGAAAAGGGACACCACCAGCCCUAGAAAACCUAAACUAGGCACUUCCUUCCUGGGACAUCAGAAGUUGAUCCUGCCACGUCCACUGGAGAGGCAAAAAGGAGUCCAAAAGUCCUUGAGGCUACCUCUUACCGCCCCACCCCCAGCUCAGACAAGCCUGUGACCCAGAAGCGAGCAUCUCAUCUCUCCUUGAUUAGACUUUCCAGAGACUGCACUCCCAGCUCUUGUGUCCACCCAAGAAGAAACCAAGGCCAGGACAUUGGCUCCCCAGUCUAUAAAUAGAGGUUUGGACCCAGGACGCUGGGAGUUUUGCCCAGAAACCUCUAAGACACCCAAGGAUUCAGCAAACAUCCAAGAUAUGGAGGACAGACACUAGAUGUGAAUUCUUAUGCAGUGAAUUAAACAAUAUGUUAUUACAC